GGAUGUGAGGGUGAUCUGGCUGCGACAUCUGUCACCCCAUUGAUCAUCAGGGUUGAUUUGGCUGAUCUGGUUGGCUAGGCAGGUGUCCCCUUCCUCCCUCACUGCUCCACGUGUGUCCCUCCUAAAUCUACAAAUUUGGUUGAAGAGGACGACCUUUCCCACUAGAGGAGGACCGGUCUUUGGUCAAGGGUGUACAAGUAGCUGCGAUCCCCUGCUAGAACCUCCCAACAAGCUCUCAAGAACUAGGACAUGUUCCUGACCACAUACCUCGGCUGUAUCAGAGAGUUACAGAGGAGACUGACUCAAGAUUGCCUGUACUCUACAGACUCUCAGUCAGUGGGAAUCUGGCCUUGCUG
This 356-nucleotide small nuclear RNA is filed under the name Oryctolagus cuniculus (rabbit). RNAcentral's name for it is "7SK RNA". It matches the Rfam family "7SK RNA". From Rfam's summary of the family: 7SK was discovered as an abundant small nuclear RNA in the mid-70s but a possible function has only recently been suggested. Two independent studies have found that 7SK RNA binds the CDK9/cyclin T complex (known as elongation factor P-TEFb). Lineage: Eukaryota; Metazoa; Chordata; Mammalia; Lagomorpha; Leporidae. The record is from Rfam by way of RNAcentral.